Molecule: long non-coding RNA, 1129 nt
Filed under: Pogona vitticeps (central bearded dragon)
Lineage: Eukaryota; Metazoa; Chordata; Lepidosauria; Squamata; Agamidae
Description: lncRNA (ENSPVIG00000007571.1)
Source: RNAcentral
ACUAUGUGAUAAAGAGUUCCAGUGUGGCCUGUUGACUUAAGAGAGCAUGAAGGAGUAAUUUCAUGGCCAAUAAAGCCUUCUCUUAAGGAGGUCUUACAUGGAAAGGGACAUUGGCUUUCUUUUACAAGUCAUACAGAGAUGAUGCUUAGUGAUCUGUUAACACAUGGUAUGAAAGCACAGAAAACAAUUAAGAUGCAGCUUGCAGAAAAUACCAACAUGAACUCCCUAUUUCCCUACUGCCGGAUGCUUCCGCUCCAAAUCCUGAGCACUGUUUUGCUUCUGCCUGCUUUUGGACCCCCUAGAAAAAGCAAUAUGAGCAACCUGCAACCUGUGGAUUGAAUGUGGUCAGAGUGGGUCUUCUAGGCAGCUCUCCAUGGCUCCAAAAUUUCUGCCACUGCCCCAUGGCUAAUUCUGCCUAUACAACUGCUGCUGUCAUGUUUGUGGUGGAAAAGAUAGUGUGAAAGGAAAGCCAUCCAAGUGUCUCAGUUUGGCAAUACACUGAUGAUCAACCCUUCAAACAGCUUCAAAUAGGGAAGAAGAGAGAAGAAGAAAGUUAACUCUACAUGUAGUCUUCCCGAUUUAAUAGCAUGUCCUGCUCCCGAUUGGGCCAUUUGUGAUGGGGGAGGGAGAAUAUUCACAAUGAUUGGCAUGAGGGAGGGAAAAUUUCUGUGCCUGAGAUAGGCAGAGAAGAAUGUCUGAUUUAUGUCCAGAGGGGAACAAAGGUAAAAGAUGAUCAUGAUGAUGUGCGAUUUUAAAAUAUUUUUAUAUACUAUGUGGGAACGGUGAGGGUCCCCUGACUGCCAGAGUGGGCUCUUCACACCUUGGAGAGUAAGGGCUGGAUUCCCUACCUGCAGCUCACCUGUGGACUGGGGAGUUGAUGAGUGGGAGGCUAACUAAAUAACUAACUAACUAAUGAACGAAUGAACUAUUGAUUGAUUGAUUGAUUGAUUGAUUGAUUGAUUGAUUGAUUGAUUGAUUGAUUGCAUUUUUAUACUGCAUCAUCUGGCUGGAGGCCACACUGGGCAGUGCACAGAAGGACAAAACACAAUUAAUAAUAAUAAUCAUAAUCAAUCAAUAUAGUGACAUCAUAAAAUAAUGUGAAUCAAAUAAAAUUCAUAAUUAAUAAACA